Salvia hispanica is the source of this 1128-nucleotide non-coding RNA. The record is from RefSeq and is a predicted model, not a curated record. Lineage: Eukaryota; Viridiplantae; Streptophyta; Magnoliopsida; Lamiales; Lamiaceae.
GAAUGUUUGUACAAUUCUUCUUCAUCUAUAAGAAUUAACAAACCACAACUAAUCUUCAUGGAUUUUUUAUGGUGGAGCAGGAGAAUUAGACGAAGCUUCAUUACCGCCAUCAACUGGCUCAUUGCAACGAUCUUCCUGUCUGAGCAUAUAAAAUAUCGAUCGCCGACCAUGCGAAAUUAUCACACGUUGCAUUUGCCUCCAUUAUUGUUGCCUCAGCCAAGGCCUGCUCACCAGCAUCUGCACCAUUUUACACCAAGUAUUGUGCUUCAAUUAGGCCAUGACAGAAUUUUGGUCGGCAGCUACUUGGAGGAGGAAUGAAGGGGACAAAUGUAUCGUGCGUUCAUAGAGGUGCUGAUCAGGAACAACAAAGGAGUUCUGACUUGAUGAUUGGUCGACAUAUGUUGAGGCAGGAACAACAACAGGGUUCUGACUCGAUUGGCACAAAAAUGUUGGCUCAUUGUGUUGAUAAAGUCGUUGCUCAGGAACGACAAGAGGAUAGUUCUGUCUUGAUGAACCAACAAAUGUUGGCUCAUUAUUGAUUUCAUUCCCCUUUACACCAUUGCUUGAUGCUACAAAUAAAUAUAUAUAGUGGUAUAAAAUUGAAGAAAUGGUGUAUUAGUGGUAUAGAAUUGAAGAAAUUGAAGAAAUGGUAUAAAAAAUCUAUGAUUUUGGAAUAUAAAAAAUCAUCUGUUCUUGGCAGAGGGAUUCUAACCUCGAAGGCGACUUGACUGCCAAAUUCUACUAUGGCAUGAAGAAGUUGGUGUGGGAGUUUCUCAAUGGGCCUUUGAAGAGCAAAAUGGAAGUUUGUUGGUCUGACAACAUCACUGCUAUUGAGGCGGUUAUGAACCCUAAUCAACCCGGAUUUCUUCGAAUUGAGUAGGCUAAGCCUCCUCUCUUCUUCCGUGAAAUCCCUCCUCAACCACGAAAGCGUACUACUUGGGAGCCGGCUGAUGAUUUCACUAAUGGGCAAGCCCAAUUUUGCCGGAGCGCUUGAUAAGCACCACGAGAAGCUUCUGAUAAGCAAUGCGCGUCUGGCUGAGCUCAGUCGCAGGCCCUUCCCGACCAAUGAAUCUGUUUUUCCCUUGCAACAGCAGCUCUCCACAAAUGAAGCUUCAUCUGUUUCUUUUG